UCUGUAUUUUGCAAUAUUACACUGCAAAUAGUGCAACGAUGUUUCACUUCGCCGUAAACAUUCACCCACGAGUGUUCUUUGUGCCCUUGUAACUCUGCGUUGAUCGAAGGCAUUUAAUCAAUGUGCCGAUUCGUCGGUCGCAAAAACCGUUCGCGCGGCGAUCACGCGGGCGCGAGUCGCAUGAAGUGUGGUGCGUUUUGAUACUCUCGAUGUGCAGCGUCUCGCAGCGAUCUUCACUCCAUUCAGAAAUCGCGGCGCAUGCCGCCGCGUACGAAGGAUCAUAUUUCCCAGUGAAAAAGCACGAUCAGGAUACGCGCGCGCACAGUACUGGGAGGUUGGCGGAGUACUAAAGCGUCUCCCGUGUCCGAGCGAGUCUUCUCUCGUCGAGAACCACGCAUCGUCCUCGGCAUUGGCGCGACGCGAGUCAAAACGCCCAAAUGUUGCAUUGAAAGCUCCAUGUGGAAGAUAUUGUAUGCGCGGUACACUUCUGGGAUUCUUUUUGCUUGAGGAAGGUUCCUUCUCAUGUUGUUAUUCUUACUAAAAGACGCAUAUCAAAAAAACGGAAAAAGAAUUGAUCAAUUCAAAAAAGCAGGCAGCAAUUCACGAAAGGUGCAUUGCGUUUGAGUUUUUCCCACUGUAGCCACGUGAUCACAAGCUGCGCAAAGCCUGAUUGUUCUCUCAGUGGAUGGAGUAUAGAAAUA
Trachymyrmex cornetzi is the source of this 701-nucleotide long non-coding RNA. RefSeq lists it as uncharacterized. NCBI's taxonomy places the organism in Eukaryota, Metazoa, Arthropoda, Insecta, Hymenoptera, Formicidae. The transcript has 3 exons. The record is from RefSeq and is a predicted model, not a curated record.